This 513-nucleotide unclassified non-coding RNA is filed under the name Hevea brasiliensis (rubber tree). Lineage: Eukaryota; Viridiplantae; Streptophyta; Magnoliopsida; Malpighiales; Euphorbiaceae. The record is from RNAcentral.
CGAAUGAUGAGUACCGGAAAACGGUGGAGAAAGCCGAGGAGUUCUUCUUCUCAUUUGCAACACAAUUAGGAAGGUACGUUAUCACAAUGAUGGGAACGGGUGUUAUACUUGUGGUCGGAUUCCAGUUGUCAGGAGGUAACAGUCAGUUGAAUGAGCUGAUUUGGUAUAGCUGGCUAGGCGGGAUUAUUAUUGGGACGAUGAUUGGGGCUAAUAUGGUUUUGGAUGAGCAUAGUAGAGCGGGGCCUCGCAAUGUCGUCAUAACUGGAAGCACAAGGGGUUUAGGAAAAGCACUUGCUCGUGAAUUUCUUCUGUCGGGGGACCGUGUUGUGGUUGCUUCACGCAGCCCUGAGUCGGUUCAUUCGACGGUGGAGGAACUCAAAGAAAACCUGAAGGAGGGUAUGGCGAUGGCUGGAACCAAGGGCAUAGACAAAUUUGCUCAUGCUAAGGUUGUUGGUAUUGCAUGCGAUGUUUGCAACCCUGAGGAUGUGAGGAAGUUGGCCAACUUUGCCGUUG